UACGGAGGGUGCAAGCGUUAUCCGGAUUUACUGGGUUUAAAGGGCGCGUAGGUGGUUCUGUAAGUCAGUGGUGAAAUCUCCGAGCUUAACUCGGAAACUGCCAUUGAUACUAUAGGUCUUGAAUUAUCUGGAGGUAAGCGGAAUAUGUCAUGUAGCGGUGAAAUGCUUAGAUAUGACAUAGAACACCAAUUGCGAAGGCAGCUUACUACGGAUUGAUUGACACUGAGGCACGAAAGCGUGGGGAUCAAACAGG
Molecule: ribosomal RNA, 253 nt
Filed under: uncultured bacterium
Lineage: Bacteria
Description: partial 16S ribosomal RNA
Rfam family: Bacterial small subunit ribosomal RNA
Source: RNAcentral